AACGAACGCUGGCGGCAUGCCUAACACAUGCAAGUCGAACGAGAUCCUUCGGGGUCUAGUGGCGCACGGGUGCGUAACGCUUGGGAAUCUGCCCUUAGGUUCGGAAUAACAGUUAGAAAUGACUGCUAAUACCGGAUGAUGACGUUAAGUCCAAAGAUUUAUCGCCUGAGGAUGAGCCCGCGUAGGAUUAGCUAGUUGGUGUGGUAAAGGCGCACCAAGGCGACGAUCCGUAGCUGGUCUGAGAGGAUGAUCAGCCACACUGGGACUGAGACACGGCCCAGACUCCUACGGGAGGCAGCAGUGGGGAAUAUUGGCCCAUGGGCGCAAGCCUGAUCCAGCAAUGCCGCGUGAGUGAUGAAGGCCUUAGGGUUGUAAAGCUCUUUUACCCGAGAUGAUAAUGACAGUAUCGGGAGAAUAAGCCCCGGCUAACUCCGUG
RNAcentral lists this ribosomal RNA (436 nucleotides) under uncultured bacterium. Its description in RNAcentral is "partial 16S ribosomal RNA". It matches the Rfam family "Bacterial small subunit ribosomal RNA", at positions 29 to 507 of the family's 1533-position model. The record is from RNAcentral.